GCCCCGGGAACCGGGGAAUCCCGGAUUCGGCUGCGGGCGCCCGGGCCUCCGCGACGGUGGCCGUGGCGGAAGAAGAAAGCUUCCUACUAACCGAGUCAGCAGGAACCGGAGCCCACGGAGGCCAAGCCUGCUUUACAGGGUAAGGAAUCUGAGGCCCAGAGAGGGAGGUGACUUUGCCCCAGGUCACACACUUGGCAGGAAAUAAGGGCAGAAGAAACCUCACCAACGACAGUGUGUGCAUGGAGCUAAGUCGAUUCAGUCAUGUCCCACUCUUUGCGAUUCCUGCAGGCUCCUCUGUCCAUGGGAUUCUCCUGGCAAAAAUUACUGGAGUGGGUUGUCAUGCCUUCCUCCAGGGGAUCUGCCCAACUCGGGGAUUGAACCCUCAUCUCUUAAGUCUCCUGCAUUGGCAGGAGGUUCUAUACCACUAGCGCCACCUGGGAAGCCCAAGGACAGUGCAGCCUGAGCCCCAAAGAGCUUUCAGGCCGCCCCCGAGCGUCCAGCUUCUAAAAUCCUUUCUACUGAAUAGGUGAUCACAUGCAUCUGCAACCCUCCUGACCCUCUGACCCACACCAAGAGGCUGAGGAGGAGCGCUAGUAAGUCCCCACUCUUGGCCUCAGGGCCUGCUGGGCUGAGUAGGACAGCCGCUUCCUUUUCAAAGCUGAGUUCUCCAUCUAUAACAUAGCGGGUGUUUCUCUGCCUGCCUUCUCGGGGGAUGUGAGAAGCCUGUGAAAUAAAGGAUGAUACAGAUAAGAUAGAAAAGCAGAAGAACAGGAGGGUCAGGGGCUUUUGUCGCAGUGGUUAUUUUUAUUUCCCAGCUCCGGAGCCCAGUCCAGGGGCCCUCAGCUGCAGGAAAGGGCUCUCUGGGCUCAAGUCCCUCUGUCUAACCCCCCCAGUGUGGACUGCACACUGACUGUCCCACCUUACCCUACAGCUCCUCUUGGCAAGCCUCUUCCGCACUGUGCCCCAGCCAGGGAAGACAGGAAGGCUCCUCUGUCGGUGCUGGCAUUCUGGGCUCCAUGGACCCUGCUACUGACGCGUGUCCACAAGGGUGAACCCCAACGAGGUACGAGGCAGGAGGGAAACAUGCCACCACUUCCUCAUCCUCCAACAUGGACACCCAAGGGAGAUCAGGGCCAGGGAAAGAGACCCCCAAGCAUGGCUGAGCUAUACGAGAAUGUGUAG
This 1182-nucleotide long non-coding RNA is filed under the name Capra hircus (goat). RNAcentral's name for it is "lncRNA (ENSCHIG00000005250.1)". The record is from RNAcentral. Lineage: Eukaryota; Metazoa; Chordata; Mammalia; Artiodactyla; Bovidae.